GAUGAACGCUGGCGGCGUGCCUAAUACAUGCAAGUCGAGCGAACAGACGAGGAGCUUGCUCCUUCGACGUUAGCGGCGGACGGGUGAGUAACACGUAGGUAACCUACCUAUAAGACUGGGAUAACUUCGGGAAACCGGAGCUAAUACCGGAUAAUAUUUCGAACCGCAUGGUUCGAUAGUGAAAGAUGGCUUUGCUAUCACUUAUAGAUGGACCUGCGCCGUAUUAGCUAGUUGGUAAGGUAACGGCUUACCAAGGCAACGAUACGUAGCCGACCUGAGAGGGUGAUCGGCCACACUGGAACUGAGACACGGUCCAGACUCCUACGGGAGGCAGCAGUAGGGAAUCUUCUGCAAUGGGCGAAAGCCUGACGGAGCAACGCCGCGUGAGUGAUGAAGGUCUUCGGAUCGUAAAACUCUGUUAUUAGGGAAGAACAAACGUGUAAGUAACUGUGCACGUCUUGACGGUACCUAAUCAGAAAGCCACGGCUAACUACGUG
This 497-nucleotide ribosomal RNA is filed under the name uncultured bacterium. RNAcentral describes it as "partial 16S ribosomal RNA". It matches the Rfam family "Bacterial small subunit ribosomal RNA", at positions 28 to 507 of the family's 1533-position model. The record is from RNAcentral.